UCGAGGAUCUCCGGCAAUGGGCGCAAGCCUGACCGAGCGACGCCGCGUGUGCGAUGAAGGCCUUCGGGUUGUAAAGCACUGUCGGGAGGGAGAAAAGGGGCAACCCUUGAUCGACCUCCGGAGGAAGCACGGGCUAAGUUCGUGCCAGCAGCCGCGGUAAGACGAACCGUGCGAACGUUGUUCGGAAUCACUGGGCUUAAAGGGCGCGUAGGCGGGUUCUCAAGUCUGGAGUGAAAGCCCACGGCUCAACCGUGGAAGCGCUUCGGAUACUGGGGGCCUCGAGGGAGGUAGGGGCGUGCGGAACUUCCGGUGGAGCGGUGAAAUGCGUAGAUAUCGGAAGGAACACCGGUGGCGAAAGCGGCGCGCUGGACCUCUUCUGACGCUGAGGCGCGAAAGCCAGGGGAGCAAACGG
RNAcentral lists this ribosomal RNA (412 nucleotides) under uncultured bacterium. RNAcentral describes it as "bacterial SSU rRNA". It matches the Rfam family "Bacterial small subunit ribosomal RNA", at positions 355 to 775 of the family's 1533-position model. The record is from RNAcentral.